RNAcentral lists this small RNA (22 nucleotides) under Arabidopsis thaliana (thale cress). RNAcentral's name for it is "ATSL261360". The record is from RNAcentral. Lineage: Eukaryota; Viridiplantae; Streptophyta; Magnoliopsida; Brassicales; Brassicaceae.
UUUCGAUCUUUGUUUUUCUUGC